UACGUAGGUGGCAAGCGUUGUCCGGAAUUAUUGGGCGUAAAGCGCGCGCAGGCGGUCCUUUAAGUCUGAUGUGAAAGCCCACGGCUCAACCGUGGAGGGUCAUUGGAAACUGGGGGACUUGAGUACAGAAGAGAAGAGUGGAAUUCCACGUGUAGCGGUGAAAUGCGUAGAGAUGUGGAGGAACACCUGCGGCGAAGGCGGGUUGCUGGGCUGACACUGACGCUGAUGCGCGAAAGCUAGGGGAGCGAACGGG
This 253-nucleotide ribosomal RNA is filed under the name uncultured bacterium. RNAcentral's name for it is "partial 16S ribosomal RNA". It matches the Rfam family "Bacterial small subunit ribosomal RNA", at positions 524 to 776 of the family's 1533-position model. The record is from RNAcentral.